AGAAACUUAGGUUAACUAAAACCAAAGACCUUCAAAGUCCAAAAUAAGAGAUAAAUCUCCUAGUUUCUG
Molecule: transfer RNA, 69 nt
Filed under: Hoplodactylus sp. Cascades Darrans
Lineage: Eukaryota; Metazoa; Chordata; Lepidosauria; Squamata; Diplodactylidae
Description: tRNA-Trp
Source: RNAcentral